AGAGCGAACGCUGGCGGCAGGCUUAACACAUGCAAGUCGAGCGGGCGUAGCAAUACGUCAGCGGCAGACGGGUGAGUAACGCGUGGGAACGUACCUUUUGGUUCGGAACAACCCAGGGAAACUUGGACUAAUACCGGAUAAGCCCUUACGGGGAAAGAUUUAUCGCCGAAAGAUCGGCCCGCGUCUGAUUAGCUAGUUGGUGAGGUAAUGGCUCACCAAGGCGACGAUCAGUAGCUGGUCUGAGAGGAUGAUCAGCCACAUUGGGACUGAGACACGGCCCAAACUCCUACGGGAGGCAGCAGUGGGGAAUAUUGGACAAUGGGCGCAAGCCUGAUCCAGCCAUGCCGCGUGAGUGAUGAAGGCCCUAGGGUUGUAAAGCUCUUUUGUGCGGGAAGAUAAUGACGGUACCGCAAGAAUAACGCCCGGCUAACUUCGCGCCAGCAGCCGC
RNAcentral lists this ribosomal RNA (448 nucleotides) under uncultured bacterium. RNAcentral describes it as "SSU rRNA". It matches the Rfam family "Bacterial small subunit ribosomal RNA", at positions 26 to 518 of the family's 1533-position model. The record is from RNAcentral.